UUGCACGCUGGCGGCAUGCUUUACACAUGCCAGUCGGACGGCAGCACAGAGAAGCUUGCUUCUUGGGUGGCGAGUGGCGAACGGGUGAGUAACAUAUCGGAACGUACCGAGCAGUGGGGGAUAACUAAUCGAAAGAUUAGCUAAUACCGCAUAUCUUCUGAGGAAGAAAGCAGGGGACCAUUUGGCCUUGCGCUGUUUGAGCGGCCGAUAUCUGAUUAGCUAGUUGGUGGGGUAAAGGCCUACCAAGGCGACGAUCAGUAGCGGGUCUGAGAGGAUGAUCCGCCACACUGGGACUGAGACACGGCCCAGACUCCUACGGGAGGCAGCAGUGGGGAAUUUUGGACAAUGGGCGCAAGCCUGAUCCAGCCAUGCCGCGUGUCUGAAGAAGGCCUUCGGGUUGUAAAGGACUUUUGUCAGGGAAGAAAAGGGCGGGGUUAAUACCCCUGUCUGAUGACGGUACCUGAAGAAUAAGCACCGGCUAACUACGUG
Molecule: ribosomal RNA, 489 nt
Filed under: uncultured bacterium
Lineage: Bacteria
Description: partial 16S ribosomal RNA
Rfam family: Bacterial small subunit ribosomal RNA
Source: RNAcentral